GUGAGCUCAGAGCCGGUGUGUGGGAGCGUCGCUGGGAGAAAGGAGCGGACAGAAUUCACAAAUCUCGGAUAGAGGUACUCAUGGAGUUCCUGACUCAAUAGACUUGCCAACUGCUGGUUGGGACGAUGGUUGGUCAGCCAGAAAGACAAAGUCAGGGAGGUCGGAGACUUCAAUCAAUCCUGCUGCCAGGUACAAUGGUGAUCCUGUAAGAGACCAGUGCGGAAUGGGAUGUUAUAAAUCUCUGCUGAGGCUUGCGGCCUACCAUUACCUGGGAGUCACUAAGGGAGAGAGUCUGAGAGAGCAGCACAAAGCGGGAGAAUAUAAAUCAGCAGUGAGGGUCAAGGCCGACUGGGACUUGGAUCUGGAGAAACAGCAGAGCAGGAGGCUCGAAAUCAGCACCGAGUCACAGAGGGAGUGACCCCCCGUGUGAGGGAGCAACUUGGAGCAGGAGCUUGAGGCUGACUCACACCUGGGAGAAUAUAAAUCAGCACUGAGGAUCGAGGCCUAGCUGUACCUGGGAGUGACAGAGACGGUGACCCUGUGAGGGAGCAGACUGGAGUGAGAGCUGGACGAUUACACGUCCGAGGAGACACAUCACUAUGGCGGGAUUCAAUCCUGCCUCCCCUGAACAUUAGCUGAGGUUUUGGAAACAUUCUCUAGCAAUAAUACCACGAGGCCAUCACUUCACCUGCUCACUGGGUUGCUCAUCCCUGAGCACUGAUACCAGGGCAUCAUGAAGCUAAACCUAUUCUUCCAACAUGACUGUGUGAUCCUGACAUCUUCCAGCAAUCUGGGACUAUUACUUAAUAUCGCUCCAUUUUACAGAUCUCUGUGGGACUCAGUGCCAUUCUCCGUGUGUAACCCUCACUGCAUCUGUUUCAUUUCCCAUUCUGUCUAUUUCUCUGUCUCCUGUAGUUACUCAGGAAAGUCCUGACUCAAUAGCCUUCCCAUCUGCGAGGUGGAUCGUCCAUCACCACAUUGAACGCAGUUGGUCUGCCAGAGAGAGACAAAGGGCAGGGAGAUCUGGAGCCUUCAAUAAAUCCUGUAGUGAGGUAUUCCUGAUGUCCCUGACUCAGCACAAUUCCCAAUUCCUGUCUCGUCCAUCACCACAUUGAAGGCAGUUGGUCAGCCAGAGAGAGAUGGAGAGGGAGAUCUGGAGCCUUCAGUAAAUCCUGCAGCCGGUACUCAGGAAGUUCCUGACUCAAUAGACUUCCCAACUGCUGUGUGUCUCAUCCAUCAACUCAUUGAAGAUGGUUGGUCAGCCAGAGAGACAAAGGGCAGGGAGAUCUGGAGCCUUCAAUAAAUCCUGC
This is a long non-coding RNA of Hemiscyllium ocellatum (epaulette shark), 1310 nucleotides long. RefSeq lists it as uncharacterized. The transcript has 6 exons. The record is from RefSeq and is a predicted model, not a curated record. NCBI's taxonomy places the organism in Eukaryota, Metazoa, Chordata, Chondrichthyes, Orectolobiformes, Hemiscylliidae.